RNAcentral lists this ribosomal RNA (253 nucleotides) under uncultured bacterium. RNAcentral's name for it is "partial 16S ribosomal RNA". It matches the Rfam family "Bacterial small subunit ribosomal RNA", at positions 524 to 776 of the family's 1533-position model. The record is from RNAcentral.
UACGGAGGGUGCGAGCGUUGUCCGGAAUCAUUGGGCGUAAAGGGCGCGUAGGUGGCCCGGUCAGUCUUUGGUGAAAGCGCGGGGCUCAACCCUGCGUCGGCCAGGGAUACUGCCGCGGCUCGAGCACUGUAGAGGCAGGCGGAAUUCCGGGUGUAGCGGUGGAAUGCGCAGAUAUCAGGGGAACACCGGUGGCGAAGGCGGAUCUCUGGGCCUUACCUGACGCUCAGGUGCGAAAGCUAGGGGAGCGAACAGG